RNAcentral lists this small nucleolar RNA (137 nucleotides) under Ornithorhynchus anatinus (platypus). Lineage: Eukaryota; Metazoa; Chordata; Mammalia; Monotremata; Ornithorhynchidae. The record is from RNAcentral.
CGCCUCUCAGAGUCGCACCUGGAGAGUUUCCAGUACUCUACCAGUCUCGGUUAUGGGAGGCAGAGUCAAGUAGAGGCCUGUCCAUUCCAUUCCUAGUUGGCCAGUGGCUAGCGAGUGGAAGGCAAUCUGCUACAAGU